GCCCGCCUAGCUCAAUCGGAUAGAGCGUCAGACUCUUACAUGCGGGUAUCUGAAGGCUGCGAGUUCGACCCUCGCGGUGGGCU
Molecule: transfer RNA, 83 nt
Filed under: Marasmius sp. AFHP31
Lineage: Eukaryota; Fungi; Basidiomycota; Agaricomycetes; Agaricales; Marasmiaceae
Description: tRNA-Lys
Rfam family: tRNA
About the family: Transfer RNA (tRNA) molecules are approximately 80 nucleotides in length. Their secondary structure includes four short double-helical elements and three loops (D, anti-codon, and T loops).
Source: RNAcentral